Long non-coding RNA from Beta vulgaris subsp. vulgaris (sugar beet), 615 nucleotides. RefSeq lists it as uncharacterized. The record is from RefSeq and is a predicted model, not a curated record. The transcript has 3 exons. Lineage: Eukaryota; Viridiplantae; Streptophyta; Magnoliopsida; Caryophyllales; Amaranthaceae.
CCAGCUGAAAUUACAGCUCAGACCUAUCCUAAAAGAAAGCUGCUUAGCAGCUACUUAAGUGUCGAUCUCUCAAAGAACUUUUUAUGCGUGAAAGCCAACACCUUAGGCUAACACCUCAAGCAAGAAUCACCCAAAAACUACAAGAAACCGACCUUGCCCAGAAGAGGUUUCCCUCCCCUGGGGGUACCGCCAGAACAGACUAUAAAAGCCUGUUCUGGAUUUUCGUCUCUUUUCUCAUAUUUUCUCCUCUUUGACACCCACUUUUCACUACAUAGAACUCUUCUAAACAUCCAUACAGAGUUGUACAAGCUUUGGUUCCAACCUUUAGACCAUAAAAUCAUAUAGAAAACCUUGUUCAAAGAUCACAUAAGUUGCUGGGAAGCUGUAGGAGUAGUUAACCAAGUGAAUUAAGGAAUUUCGUGAGCUUUAAGCAUCCUUAGUUAAGAGUCAAACAUUGUUGCAGGUUUGGUGUUGUGAGCUCAGGAUUCAGAAGUGAAGCAAGAUAAAGAUGUCGUCGUAGCUUAUGGAUUGAGUUUGUAUUUUAGAUAGUCAAUUAAGGAAUAGUUUCUGAUAUAUUUUGUUGUAUACAAUAUUUGGGAAUAUUAGUCGAGAUAU